Molecule: long non-coding RNA, 2033 nt
Filed under: Mus musculus (house mouse)
Lineage: Eukaryota; Metazoa; Chordata; Mammalia; Rodentia; Muridae
Description: long non-coding RNA chr7:81281206-81283239
Source: RNAcentral
GAUGAGAUUUCAUCAAGACCAACUUCAGGUAUUAUGCUGUAAUGAUCACAUUUCAAUUUUCUUUAGUGAGGAGGGUAUUUAAAAUGAUACAUUUAAGAUAAUUUCUUUUUCUAUUUAGAUUCUAGCACUGGAUCAUGGUUACAUUUCUUGGACUUGGUAACAGUGCUAUCAUCCUUUCCUUAGGAGUACACAGUGAGGUUAAAAUUUAGGCUUGCAAUAGGAAGUGAUUAAUUGUGCACGCAGUCACAUGUGUCAUACAUUGAGAGGAAGGAAAACCAAAGUGGCAAAAGGCAAAGGGCUGAUUAAUCUAGAGGAAGAAUGUUUAAGGCAUUGUCAUUUAUAACUUUUCAGUAAGUUUGAAUUUUUCCAAAAUGAAAAGUUAAAGCAUAGCCUCUUCCAUUACAGCAAGUUUGUUGUUUGGGGAUAAGGUCUUAUAUAACCCAUGUUGGCAUCAGGGGACCGGAGAGACAGAUUAGUGGUUAAGAGCACUUACUGCUCUUGUAGAGGACCUAGGUUCAGUUGUAAGUACACACAGAGUUGAUUACAACUGUCUAUAACUCCAGUGCUAAGGGCCUUUCUUCUGGGACUCUGUGGGCACUUUUACACAUAUGGUGCACACAUGUACAUGCAGGCGAAACACCUGUACCCAUAAAACAAAAAUAAAGAGAUCUUUAAGAAGGGAUAAGAUGCAGCCGAGUUAUUUGAAGCUCUCUGCACAUGAACUAUGUCUGCUGUUGUAUUUUAACCUUGUGAAGGGGGCUGACAGGCGUGUGUUCUUGGUUCCUUGCAUCUGUGGUAUUUGAACAGUUGGGCAAACUUUCAAGGAAAUAAAGGAUAGCUUCCAGUUUUGUAGUCAACCUCUGACUGCAAGGCUGCUCCAUCACCACACAACCUCUGUCAUCUAUGGAGUCUAGCCCUGAAGGGGAUGAUCAGAGGUGCUUUGACCCUGAUUUGGCUGGGAGACCUGGUUGAAUAGGGGAGAGGCAGCAGAUCCAGGCGUCUGGUGGUUUAGGCUAGGCACCAAGACAAGCAGUUACCAGCCUGACAUUGGCCCAGAUGGUACGCAGGUUGCCUGGGCCCUGUGUCCAUAUCACCUGGAAUGCUGUAGUGCUCAAAUCUCUCAAAUUCAGAAUGACUUUUCAACAUGGAGGCAUUGCAUAACCUUUGUGUCAAAACACGUUAAGUACAUCAUUUAAGGAUGGCGUGUCCCAACAGUAUUUCACUAAAAUACUUGCAUUUCCCAUCUGAGGAAUUUCACUGGAAUACCAACCUUGUCAUACUUAGUUAACUUUCUGUUUGCUAACAUAAAUAUUUGUGUUUUGAUUCCAUUUUAAAAUAAAAAUAUUCUGACAAGUCUUUAUUGCGUCCUAUCGAAGGCAUUAUCAGCAAAAGAAGUAAGCAUAUGUUCCAAGUGCUUGGACUUCCAGCCUAGACAUUUUAGCAUUGACUGGCCGAUGAAUGCUAAUGUCUCUGAGUCAUAUGUAAGAAAAGAAUGUGUAUUUACAGAUGUUAGGUUCAUAACUUGUGUCUUAAACAUUUAAGGAUUUUCUGUGGCUUCUUUAAAAAUGACAGUUAUAUCAAGAUUUUAAAAGUGUGUUUGUGCUCUUCUGGUCCAGGUCCUGUUAGUGUUUACCAAAGAAGAUAGCCAGUGUAACGGAUUCCACAGGGCAUGUGAGAAAGCUGGGUUUAAGUGCACAGUCACCAAGGAGGUGCAGACUGUCCUUACCUGUUUCCAGGACAAACUCCAUGACAUCAUCAUCAUAGACCACAGAUAUCCCCGACAGAUGGAUGCAGAGACAUUGUGCAGGUAAGCCAGCAGUCCGUGACUGAGUUCCAUGGGUCCUUAUGACAGCCUAUAAACACACUAAGUUAAAUUCAAUCGCCCUUUCCUUGUAUGCAAAAUAAGCAAGGCAUUAUAACUUUGUUGUUUCUAGGGCUAAUCUUUAUUUCUUAAUUGUCUUGCUUGCUCUAUUUAAAACAGUAAGAAAUUGUCUUGCAUGCACAAAGCCUUGGGCUUGUUUCCCAACUUUACC